Oreochromis niloticus (Nile tilapia) is the source of this 8045-nucleotide long non-coding RNA. RefSeq lists it as uncharacterized. The record is from RefSeq and is a predicted model, not a curated record. The transcript is spliced from 2 exons. NCBI's taxonomy places the organism in Eukaryota, Metazoa, Chordata, Actinopteri, Cichliformes, Cichlidae.
GAGUUCGGGUCUUAGGAAGUUAAAUUUAUAUUUAUAUUACAGUCUGGAAGCCUAAAUUUUGCUGCAACAUUUGGAUGGUAGGGUCAGAAUUUGGGGUAAACAACAUGAAAGCAUGGGUCCAUGAUUUCAUGGGAUAUUGUCCUGGCACACCGUGUCCCCUUAUUAUCAGUAGAGCAUAAUUUAAACAUCACAGCCUACCUGAAUAUUGUUGCAUCUCUUAAUGACCACAGUGUACCCAUCUACUGAUGACUGCUUCCACCAUGAUAACUCACUAUGACACAAAGCUCAGAUCAUCUCAAACUUUUUCUAACAUGACAGUGAGUUCACUGUACUCAAAUGACCUCUACAGUCAGCAGAUCUCAAUCCAAUAGCGCACCUUUGGGAUGUGGUGGAAUUAGAGAUUUGCAUCAUUGAUGUGCAACCAAUAAAUCUGCAGCAACUGUGUGAUGCUUUCAUGCCUAAUUAUCAGUUCUGAAGGCAACAGGGGGUCCAACCUGGUGUCAUUAAGGCGUACCUAAUCGACCGUCCGAGGAGUAUAUGCUGCAUUAUGUUGAGAUUUUAGCCUGUAAUGGAAGAACUGUAGAAAGGAGGAACACUCAGUUAACAUGUGUAGGCCUGUUUUGAAACAGUCAAUAUAAAGCUAAAGUUAUGCAUGUUGCUGUAAAUCCUACAUGUGUUCGUGCAAAUGAAUCCCAUUAAAACGGUUUUUAUAAUAAAACAAAUAGCAGCCUAAACUAGCAGCUAGAAAGACAUAAAAAUGAGAUUUUUACUACAGUCCAGCAGCAGAUCAACCCUUAUAGGUAAGCUGGCAGUGUUUUCAUCCACAAAUUUUAUUUUUGGGCAUUUGGAAUCCAUAGUUACAAAAUACCAUUUUUAAAAAUAUGCUCAUAUAAUAUAUGUAUAUAUCAUGUGUAUACACACAUGAUAUAUACCUCCAGGCUUGUAACCCCUUUUUAAACUGGCCUUAACACAGACAGUAAUAUUUCAAAAGAGGUUUCCACCUGGAGGAUCUGUUUGGUCUAGAACAAGGCUUCUUUCAUGCCUCUGAAAUGGCUCCACAGCUACAGACCGGCUUGAGCUGUUUUACUGUAAACAUCUGAAGCACAUGACACAAAGCAGCUCCAGUCCACGUCUCAGUUUCCAUCAUGGAAUUGUAUCAUGUCGUAGUAUUGAUCCUGUAAUUGAUCCUGUGAAGUCGAGGGCACCUGUACAUACUCUGUCAUCCCUCAGUGCCAGGAGCGCUCUUGUUUAAUUGCAGGCUAAGGCGCUGGUUUUUCAUGUUGCCUUUGAAAAGCCUCAUUGAUUUUUAUACCACCCUUCAUCCUUGCUGUGCUCCGUUUUAAGAGCAAAUCCCUGGUGUCGAAGUUGCCCUGAAUGUAAAAGUAUGAAAUCUGUCAGCGCUUUUCACAAGGCUUCCAGGUGUUAUCCAGACACGUUAACACUCGUGUUUAAAAAAAGAGUUGGCUUUCUUUCUUUUUUUUUCUUUUUUAUAAUUUUAAACAGAAGGAGGAAGAACAGAAGCUGUGUUACAUGCUACUCUGGCUCAUAUGGGGCCAGAUGAAUGUGAGCUUGUGAGACUUGUGAGGUCAAGGUUUGUAACUUUGUGCCUGUUUCUAUUGCUUGAAUUAAAAAAAAAAGAAGUCACACCCAAGUGAAGAUAUGUUGAAUUAGUUUAAUUAUUUUUAUUUCUUUGAUGAGGGUCCAUGUAGGGCUGUUGCACCAGAAAAGCAUUCUACUUUAAGAGUUCAUUCCAUUAAUUCAUGAAAUAAUCUGAAUCCAAUAAUCCAAACAGGAAUGCGUUUUUUGUCAGGCUUUUAACUGCAGCUUAGAUACUGGCACAGAAAUAUAUUCAGUACAUGAGGGUCUAUACAGAACAAAAACAUCCUAAAUGAAAUUUGAUUUGCAUUAAUUUGAGAAGCAGCUUAUCUAACAUUCAUACUUUGAACUUGCUUUGAAUUCGAAAUAGGUUCUCAUCAUUUCCCCGGGAUUGCAGCCAAUUUAUUGGAUUCAGUUUUUUUUUUCCUCAGAGGCUCAGGGAGGCGGAUGAUCUCAAAAUGUUAUCACAUGACACCAUGUGAUUGAUGGACCAUUAAAACGUCAGCCAGAUGUACUUAAAACCACAGCUUUUAGGUUGAUAAAUCAUGGCACAAAUGGAUACAUAAAGCUGUUAGAAACAAAUAUUCCCAUCUAGAGCUAUCUGCAGUCAGAUGGUAAUGGAUGUUCUAUCUGAUGGUUUGUCUGUCUCUCUGUAUGUUUCUUUCUUCACAUUUUCCCUCUCGCCGUGUAUCUCUGGACUGCUGCAGUCAUGUAAUUACAAUGGGCCAGGUAGGAGUGUUCAUAUUUCAUCUGCUGCAUUCACGAUAACAUCUAAUAAUCCGAAAGCGUUGCAAAAUUGGUAUCUCGUUGCUCAUGCAUUAUGAAUGAGUCACUGAUUGCUUUUUUGCAUAGAUUAGCAAUCAUUUCACAGAAAUCUUUCUUAUAAAAAUGUGCCAGGAGGGUUCUAUCGCUUUUUCUGAAGAGUUGAGUUACCACAUCCCGCUCCUUUUUUAAGAUCAGGUGAUACCACUUCUCCUCCUUGCCCCACUGCUUCUUCUCUUGCUCUCUGAUUUAUUUCUCUAUGCAUAUCAUCAUGGGGGGGAUAAGUGUAAUUUUCAGCCCACUUUGCAACUGAUUGCUCACUUAGUGAAUAUAUUCAGCAUCUGCAGUGUCAUUGUGUUUGGAGCCAAGUGGCUAAGUACCAAUGAUAUUCUUUGGCAUCAAAGUAAACAUUUGCAGACUCUAAGAAGUAAGAAGCAACUCUUCAGAGCUCAGAUUGUGCGCCCUAAAUAUGGAUUUCUGUGACUUUUGGUUGUACUCACUUGUGACCACAAAUUGGCAUCGCACAUAUUGGGUUGUAAGGUCUGGUGGUUAGGAAAAUAGGCUCAGAACCACAUCCCAGUGAAAAGUCCCAGGUAAAGUUUACAUAGUACUUUUGUUUCCUGUCAGGCAAAUAACCUGUUCCACAGUCACAAUGAUCUGCGUCAUCCAGUGAAAUGUCAAGUCAUAUUUAUUUCACAGAGCACUUAAAGAGAGUGUUAGAACCAAGAUGAAAAAUGUCACACUUCUUUAAAAAAAAAAACUCUGCAUGAAAUUGUUUCAAUGCUUAAAACUUUGUGUACAUAAAUGCAGUUUGAAUUAAAACAGAAUUUGGUCUUGUUGCAAACUGAAUUAUGACAAGAGUGCCAACAGUGUGAGUCUGUGGUGAGGUGUACCAUGUAUGGACGCCUGAGCUCAUAACCUCUGGCCUUUGCCCCCUUCCCCCAGAUGGGCAGACUCUCAGCCAAGGCCCUGUGGACGUUGGUGCCCUCUGCUUGACAGCCCGUCACUGUGCUAUAGUGGUGAUUUUUUUUUUUUUCUGCAGGAGAUGGUGUCUGAUUGGGAGCAGUGUGUGAAUAGCCCUGUCACACUCGAUAAGCCAGCAAGACGACCUGUGACGGGGACAUAUGGCAUGUUUGACAGGGAGAGAGGGUGCGAAUCGCACUGAAUGAUAAAAUGGUGUUUUUCCCCCUUCGGCAAUGUCAUGCUUUCAGGCAAGCGUGUGGACCAUCGCUCACUCAAGCGACUGACUCCAGCCUCCUUGUGACAUCUCCUUCAAGGUCCUGAGUUUCUCUGCCUCGCGCCUGGCCAAUUCUGACACUGCAAGCCUUUGCUGCUCGCAGCUGCUCGGUUAGCUUGUCGAUGUGGGAAACAUAAUUGGAUAUCAGUUUAGUUUAGCGAUGCACACUGGGAAAUUCAUCUUAAGAGCCUGUUCGUCAGUGCUCCUCUUAAAGCUCUCUGGCAGUGCAGCCCUUCAUCUUGUCGCUUCUCAGCCUGUCACACGCCUCACACUGUUGAUUAAUACACACCAGUCUCAUCAGACGACUCUAAUUGAUGGGUUCAGCCUCCUCAGGACCCUGAUUUAUUUAAAGGGCCAUGAACACCGAAGAAAGGAGAAGAAAGAGAACGGAGGAAGGAGACAAGCAGGCUUGGAUUUAAGUGUGUCGGGGAAAUUAUUGAGUUGAACUGCACGCCUCUCAUCCUUACUGUCAGCCGGGUCUUGACUUCAGCUGUUGCAGCCUCAACUCCUAUCCUGUCAAGUGUCACAUUGUCAGUGUUUGUGGCCGUGACAGACAGCCCAGGUGUCACACUCAGGCUUCAGUGCACCAUCAGGCACCUCUGCUCUGGUCCCCAGUGGCUCACAGUCAGAGAGACAGCACAGUCCAAUAACCCCUCUCAAACCCAGCAUGCCUUGCUCCCUGGGGAGUCCCCUGUGGAGUUUACUCUCUGUCCAUUGGGCCAGAACUUAGAAAUUCUGCCAAUGGACACAUAAUCCUGCUUUCACUCUGAAUGCUAAUUAUAACACUCCAACUGCUACAGUGCUACUUCUGCCUUUAUAGUGACUUUUUCUUCUGCCUUUUUUCCCUCUAAGAAUUAGAGCACGUUCCUAAAUUCAUUGGCUGCUGUUAACCAGGGGACAGAAGGUUGGUAUAAGCUGAUCUUAUCUUAUAAUGAGGAUAAUUUGGAAGAGAACUCUAAUUGUGAUUCAAUCUUAGUGGGUGAACUUGUUUAAAGCCUUUACACAGAUCAACAUUUUAUGUUAACAUAUUGUGAACGGGGUAAGAAUUGCAAAGAGUCCAUAGAAAACAUCAUCACUGGUACUCUGCAAAACUUUGUAGCAUCUUGUAGCCUUACAAGUGACACCUUGUUUUCUCACUUUAAUCUGGUGCCGUUUUGACUCCAGUAUCUAACAGUUUAUUGGCAAAAUAGGAUGUAAAGAUUAUGUAAAUAUGGGAUUUAUAGUGCUUGGAGGACAUAAAUAGGACUCGAAAUGAAUGCUAAUGUGACUGCGGGUCUAGUAAAUGUGUAAUUCUAACAAGUUCACUAUAUCGACUUGAGAGGUGAUAAUAUGCCGGUGUUGUGCUCACAGCCCAUUUCUAUAAAUAUAAGUGGUUGGUAGGUAAUUGGUAGGUUCAGGCAUUAAAUUUGACACAAGGUUUAUUGAAAAGUAACUGAUGCCAAUUAGUGACAUAUUUUAAAAGACAAGCAACUUUUUAAAAUAUAUAUAUACAGUCAGAACUUUCAAUUUGUAACUUGAGCUUUGAUGAAAACCAGAUUUCUGUCUUUAGGUAUGCUGUGCUCUUGAAUGGGAGCCUUUAGUUACUUGUUUUUCCAGCACAUGCCGCAGAUUGAAUUGGGAUUUAGAGAAUUUGAAGGCCAAUCAACAUUUUUUAAACUCCCCAGAACAAUUUCUGAGCAUUUUUAUUUAUUUAUUUUUUUUUAACAGUUUGACAGGAUGCAUUAUUCUGCUGAAAGAGGACACUGCCUUCAGAUGUGUAUGUGGUCUCCACCCAGUGUUUAGGUAGGCAGUAUGUCAAAGUAAUAUGCAUAUAAAUGCAGGGACUCAAGGUUUCUGAGUCAAACAUUGCCAAGAGCUUGCCUUCUUUCCAUAGUUCCUCCUGCUGCCAUCUCCCUAAGGUAAAUGACACACAUACACACAUGGCUAUAAAGAAAAAAAAUGAGGUGAUUCAUUAGACCAAGCCAACUUCUUCUAUUGCUCUGUGGUUUAGUUCUGAUGCUAACUUGCCCAUCAUUUCCACUUUAUGUGGCAGAUAGUUGUCGUCAUGGGCACUAUUGUGGUUUGGAGAUAUGUAGCCCCAUACUCAGUAGCUUAGUGCACUGACACUUUCCCAUCUUAGCCUGCGUUUUUCAGCUGGAUAACAUGAUCAGCUGACUCCACAGUUCUAAAACAUUUGAUAGGUAACCUCUGGAUAUUGGGAACACAUGACCUGCUGUUUUAGAGUUUAUUGGCUUCAGGAACAGACUGUUUACUUGCUUACAAGGUAAUCAAUGUUAUUUACUUCAUGUUUCAGUGAUUUUUAUAUUGGUUUCAAUCAGAAGGUAAAUGGCCCAGUUUAUAAGGUAGUUUAAAUUACUGCUUCCUCAGUGUGCUGCUGCAAUAAAAUGCUGCUUGCCCAGACUGGAUCUUUGACCUUUUGUAUAAAAUUUUAUGAAUCAUUUCAUUCUGUUAAACAUUUUGUGUGUAAUUAUGUUAUAAUUAAUGUUUAAAUUCUUCAUUCUUCUUCUUAUCUUUUUAUUGUUUUUGUGAGGUCACAGCAUCCAUCAGUCACCAAAAAACAAUAAAUUCAUUAUCCUAUUCUUCAGCAUGUUUUUCUGUCAGGUAUGUUUUUACUGCAUUGGCAGUGUGUAUGGGAUCUUUGUCAUGUUGAAAAAUAAAGCUAUUGCCAAUCAGGUGCUUUUCAGAUUAUAUUGCAUAGUGGAUCAAAAUCUGGCUGUACUUUUCUUCAUUAAUAAUUCCUUAAAUUAUGACAAGAUCAACACCACUGACUGAAAUGCAGCUCCAAACAUGACAGAGCCUCCACCGUGUUUUAUAGAUGACUGCAGACACUCACUGUUACAGCUCUCUCCUGACCUUCUCCAUACACACUGACAAUAAUCAGAAGAAAAUUUUCAGUUUGAAAUGCUUCAGCCUUUAGCCUCUCUGUUUCCCUUUAUUAAAGACUGCUUGUUUGCACUGAACAGUAGAUGGAUCAACUGCAGGGCCAGAUUCAUCUUUCAGGUCUUUGCUGGAUUUGUUCUUAUUUCCUAAUGACAUGACUUUUAGAUACUGUUCACCUGGUGCAGAUGGUUUUUUCUUCUUCUUUUGUCCUGCCAAAAUAGGCCAAGCUCUUUAUUAACCUCAUUUUUUGGUGCAACAAUACUAUUUUAUGUCAGUCAAACUGUGUUAUUUUUGGCAGUUUUUAUUGGUUCAACUAAAGAAAUGGAAACAAAUUAAAUGUUUUGAAAUAGCCUGCUUGUAACAAAAUAUCUAAAUAUACAAUUUAAACUUAGUUCUUUGUUAAAUUGUAACAAACACCAAUUUUUCUCUUGAGUUAGGUGCCUUUUUAAAAAGAUAUAUAAUUUAAGGAUUCACAGGUCAGAUUUGGUGGCUUUAAAAAAAAAACCCUUUCUGCAAAAAUGUUCAGUUAGAAGGAUUGGAGUGAAAAUAUGUGAAACAAACCUGGAGACCACAAUUACAAGAAAGUCUGCCCCCUUGAAAGCAGAACAUAAAGGAAUGGUGGCCUUGGCGAUUUACCGUAUAAAAGAAAGCAGUCAAGAUUUUGGCCAUGGAUAUCACAAGCUGUUGUUGCAUCUUAAUUUGAACUUUUUAUUAUUCAGUUAAUUAUUGCAAUAAUCAUUUAUUUUGUUUGCUACUUUUUUUUUCAAAUUAAAUCAAAAUUUCUUUUAUUUUAAGUAAGUAGUGAAACUCUGAAGUGAAACAACUCUGGCUCCCUUUCCACAUUUCACAUGUUUAUUGGUGUUGUAUAAAUCAGUCACAGUUUGGCUUUCGUUUCUUGCAUAGCCAUAAAUUUUCUUGACAAUUUUCCAUUUCUCAGAAUUGCUGUCCAUGCCUGUGUUAACCCUGUGUGACAGUUUCUGUUCCACUGGACACAGUUUCAAGCUGAGCAGAGAUAAGCCAGGACCUUCACUCAUUGACCCCGCAUCUAAUUUUUUUGUUCUGGAUUCCAUCAAUAAGGCUUGAGUGACAAGCUAUCCUCUCAUUCAGCCACUAUGCCGAAUGCUAAAUCGGUCUUGGCCUUGCAGCGAGAGAUGACCUCAGUGAUAUGAUAGUCCUGCUGCACUGCCAUCAGGAGACAAGAGGGGGUCUUUAUCAUCCGCUUCACAUUAGUAGUGUGCCAUCUCUGUGUGGUGAUUGUUUGUUAAUCAGCAGUUAGAGCCCUUGGUAGUAAGAGAAACUUUUGUCAAGCAGCCAUUUUAAGGAUUUGGUCAUAGAUUUUUGUGCAUUUCCCAAGAAGAUUAUAGGGAUAGCUGGCACUACAACAAUAUUCAUAAAUAUGCAUCGGGCUUUGUGGAACACUAGAAACACAAAAGUGGCAAUUUUGCAUGAUUGCAUUCACUUACAGGAGGAUAAUAUUGUGGGGGAAGCAAUUUUAAAGAAAUGUGAAAUAAAUCAACUCUUAACAUAGCCAACCAAAUCUGGGGCUGCUGUGAAAGGGAGGAUUUCUCAA